GACGAACGCUGGCGGCGUGCUUAACACAUGCAAGUCGAGCGGAGCGGCGAACGGGUGAGUAACGCGUGAGUAACUGCCCCCCUCUCUGGGAUAACAGCUGGAAACGGCUGCUAAUACCGGAUAGUGGGGGAUGACUCGGGUCCAAUCAGCUUGUGGGUGGGGUAGUGGCCUACCAGGGGGACGACGGGUAGCCGGCCUGAGAGGGCGACCGGCCACAUUGGGCUGAGAGACGGCCCAAACGCCUACGGGCGGCAGCAGUGGAGAAUAUUGCACAAUGGGGGAAACCCUGAUGCAGCAGCGCCGCGUGCGGAAUGACGGCCUUCUGGUGGUAAACCGCUUUCAGCGAUGACGCGGUAGUGGCAGAAGAAGCACCGGCUAACUACGUGCCAGCAGCCGCGGUAAUAC
Molecule: ribosomal RNA, 405 nt
Filed under: uncultured bacterium
Lineage: Bacteria
Description: partial 16S ribosomal RNA
Rfam family: Bacterial small subunit ribosomal RNA
Source: RNAcentral